UUCGGACGGGCCCCGCACAAGCAGCGGAGCGUGUGGUUUAAUUCGAUGUUACACGAAGAACCUUACCAGGGUUUGACAUGCAAGUGGUAGGAAGCCGAAAGGUGACCGACCCUUCGGGGAGCUUGCACAGGUGCUGCAUGGCUGUCGUCAGCUCGUGUCGUGAGAUGUUCGGUUAAGUCCGCUAACGAGCGCAACCCUCGCUGUGUGUUAUAUGUGUCACACGGGACUGCCGGUCUUAGGCCGGAGGAAGGUGGGGAUGAUGUCAAGUCAGCAUGGCCUUUAUAUCCUGGGCUACACACACGCUACAAUGGCCAACACAAUAGGUUGCUAAGCCGCGAGGUGGCGCCAAUCCAUAAAGUUGGUCUCAGUUCAGAUUGUAGGCUGCAACCCGCCUGCAUGAAGAUGGAGUUGCUAGUAACCGCAGGUCAGCUAUACUGCGGUGAAUACGUUCCCGGGGCUU
Molecule: ribosomal RNA, 460 nt
Filed under: uncultured Leptolinea sp.
Lineage: Bacteria; Bacillati; Chloroflexota; Anaerolineae; Anaerolineales; Anaerolineaceae
Description: bacterial SSU rRNA
Rfam family: Bacterial small subunit ribosomal RNA
Source: RNAcentral